Molecule: non-coding RNA, 662 nt
Organism: Salvelinus sp. IW2-2015
Lineage: Eukaryota; Metazoa; Chordata; Actinopteri; Salmoniformes; Salmonidae
Source: RefSeq, a predicted model, not a curated record
GGUGUCAUAUGAUGAGUGGCAUAGUCUUAAACCAAUGUUUAAAGACUUAACCCCCCCCCCUCCAAUAUAUUUCAGGAUGAUGUAGAAGACGUCCCCCCCAAGAAGUCACAGCAUGUCACAUCAGCAUCCAGCUCUGCAGGAUCAGACGAUACUGAAAACAAAAUGCACGGCGAACUGGGAGCUGUGAACUGGGAAGCAGAUGUUCUUCUUAAGGACACCCGUGGUGCAAACUCCAAACAUUUAAAAGCACUGUUUCACUUCCUAGUGUAAUUGGGAUGGACGGGGAAGACCACAUUACAACCCUUAAAGAACUACGGUUGUAUGAUGGCCUGGAUGAAGAGGAAAAUAUUCUCCUCAAGGAAUCAUUCAUGUUCCAGUUACAGAGAGAUGAGAUGUUCUAUUUGACAACAAGACAAUUACUGUCUUUGCCUCUUGAGGAGCAGGAGUGAAGCCAUUGUUGAGGAGUGGUCAAACCUUGUUUUGUCUGCUGUGUUAAUUGUUUCAAUUGUUAAUUGUGUUAUUUUGACGUAGAAGUCACCCGAGUCUCUGAUCUCUUUACUGGAGCUAGUAUAACUUAAUGUACAAAGCACAUUCAGCUUGUCAGUAUGUCUAUAUGGUAUAGUCUGUCUCCAUUCUCAUGAGGAAAGUAAAUAGCAUUAUAA